GACGAACGCUGGCGGCGUGCUUAACACAUGCAAGUCGAACGGAAAGGCCCUGCUUUUGUGGGGUGCUCGAGUGGCGAACGGGUGAGUAACACGUGAGUAACCUGCCCUUGACUUUGGGAUAACUUCAGGAAACUGGGGCUAAUACCGGAUAGGAGCUCCUGCUGCAUGGUGGGGGUUGGAAAGUUUCGGCGGUUGGGGAUGGACUCGCGGCUUAUCAGCUUGUUGGUGGGGUAGUGGCUUACCAAGGCUUUGAAGGGUAGCCGGCCUGAGAGGGUGACCGGCCACCUUGGGCCUGCGAUACGGCCCAGACUCCUACGGGCGGCAGCAGUGGGGAAUAUUGCACAAUGGGCGGAAGCCUGAUGCAGCAACGCCGCGUGCGGGAUGCCGGCCUUCGGGUUGUAAACCGCUUUCGCCUGUGACGAAGCGUGAGUGACGGUAAUGGGUAAAGAAGCACCGGCUAACUACGUG
This 468-nucleotide ribosomal RNA is filed under the name uncultured bacterium. Its description in RNAcentral is "partial 16S ribosomal RNA". It matches the Rfam family "Bacterial small subunit ribosomal RNA", at positions 28 to 507 of the family's 1533-position model. The record is from RNAcentral.